RNAcentral lists this ribosomal RNA (590 nucleotides) under Entoloma callichroum var. callichroum. RNAcentral's name for it is "eukaryotic LSU rRNA". The stretch from base 204 to 357 matches the Rfam family "5.8S ribosomal RNA". Lineage: Eukaryota; Fungi; Basidiomycota; Agaricomycetes; Agaricales; Entolomataceae. The record is from RNAcentral.
UUGAAUAAAUUUGGUUGGGUUGUUGCUGGCUCUUCGGAGUAUGUGCACGCCCACGCCAUUUUAACCACCUGUGCACCUUGUGUAGAUCCUGGGUACUUGAGAAUCGCUCACCAGCUUUUCUCGUAUCUGGGUCUAUGUUCCUAUACACUCCAGAAGUAUUAGAAUGUUGCAAUUAGGCCUUUUGUGCCUUAAAAUAAUUAAACAACUUUCAACAACGGAUCUCUUGGCUCUCGCAUCGAUGAAGAACGCAGCGAAAUGCGAUAAGUAAUGUGAAUUGCAGAAUUCAGUGAAUCAUCGAAUCUUUGAACGCACCUUGCGCUCCUUGGUAUUCCGAGGAGCAUGCCUGUUUGAGUGUCAUUAAAUUCUCAACCUCAUUGCUUUUUACAAGUUAGUGAGGCUUGGAUGUGGAGGUUGCCGGCUUCUCUGAAACCGGCUCUUCUUAAAUGUAUUAGCAAAAUCCGUGCUGAUCAUCUUUGGUAUGAUAAUUAUCUAUACCACUGAAACUCAGUAAUUAUAAGAUUUCGCUUCUAACCGUCCCCUUCGGACAACUAUGACAAUUUGACCUCAAAUCAGGUAGGACUACCCGCUGA